RNAcentral lists this ribosomal RNA (275 nucleotides) under uncultured prokaryote. Its description in RNAcentral is "partial 16S ribosomal RNA". It matches the Rfam family "Bacterial small subunit ribosomal RNA", at positions 524 to 800 of the family's 1533-position model. The record is from RNAcentral.
UACGUAUGGGCAAGCGUUAUCCGGAAUUAUUGGGCGUAAAGAGUGCGUAGGUGGUUACCUAAGCGCAAGGUUUAAUCUUGAGGCUCAACCUCAUUCUGCCUUGCGAACUGGGCUACUUGAGUGCAGGAGGGGAAAGCGGAAUUCCCAGUGUAGCGGUGAAAUGCGUAGAUAUUGGGAAGAACACCGGUGGCGAAGGCGGCUUUCUGGACUGUAACUGACACUGAGGCACGAAAGCGUGGGGAGCAAACAGGAUUAGAUACCCUGGUAGUCCCUGA